Molecule: long non-coding RNA, 463 nt
Organism: Triticum aestivum (bread wheat)
Lineage: Eukaryota; Viridiplantae; Streptophyta; Magnoliopsida; Poales; Poaceae
Exons: 3
Source: RefSeq, a predicted model, not a curated record
UAGAUCAAAAGUUGAUUUUCGGAGCAUCCAUGGUGUACUGAGUGCAGAGUAUAUGAAUUGCCUUUUGCUUGUUGUCUACUAACAGUCAAUUAUAAUCCAAUAGCCAAGAGACACGAAUAGCAGUGUGUGUUCACACAGGGCUGCAAUGCGUGAUGGUGUUGGCCAUUCAGGGCCUGAACCAAAGGACUUCAUACUAAAGCAGUUCCCUCGAUCGUGCAAGAAUGUAAUAAUUCAUUACUAAGGAUCAAGUUAUAGUUAUUGAAAACUCGUGACUCGCUACUGCUGGGAGAUGCACCUCCACACAUUCUAGGGCAAAGAGAUUUGGGCGUGACAAGAUGAAGCAGUUCAGGUCCAUGAUUUCUAUUAAACUUUUGCAAGGAACUCGAUUAAUAUGUUCUUAUGGGUGAUACGUAUGAAGGAAAAGAACCAGAGCAGCGCUAGCUUGGAUAGAAGUUUCAGUGAC